UUAGCUGUAUAUUUCCAAUAUUAGGAGAUUAUUAGCAAUUCUUUACGACCCGCUGGUGAAAAGCUGUGAGAAGGACACUUUAACUCUUUAGUUCUUUUCCGCUAUAUAUUGUACUCUUAUUCUAGCUCUUUAUGAGUAUUAAUAUGAUGACUAUAUUGACAGCAUUUGCAUGAUGAUGAGUGGGGCAGGCCACGCACAAAGUUUGUACCAUAGUUGAAGUUCAAGUUCUUUAAUAAUUUUGGAAGAAAGUACAGUUACAUUCUUCCUCCCCACCUUGUUGAUUUCAGAUUCAAAAUAAUUUUGACUUCUUUGGAUUCAACUCUUGGUUAUUGUACAACAUGGAUGUCACAAUUGUAUUCAUGUUAAGUUCUUAAUGAAGUUUGGCUUGAUGUUCAAAUCUCAGACGCAUGUUUGUUGCCUCUUUUUAUCUGUUGUCUAUGGGGGCUGCAUCAGUUGUCUCAGAUCAUGGUAGCAGGCUCAUUUGAUAUUUGGUUGAAGUAAAUUUGCAUCUUGGGCUUUAACUUUUAUACACUGAUUGUCUAAUAAUUUUUGUUUUUAUAAUAUCAGGUUGCCUAAAAGAUAACUACAGGUGUAACUUGCUAUAACUGGUUGAAUUACACUAACUAUUACAAAUGAAAGUACACCAGUAAUAUAAAAGUUAUUUACAC
RNAcentral lists this long non-coding RNA (668 nucleotides) under Nicotiana benthamiana. Its description in RNAcentral is "long non-coding RNA (NBEN_LNC028973)". Lineage: Eukaryota; Viridiplantae; Streptophyta; Magnoliopsida; Solanales; Solanaceae. The record is from RNAcentral.